Molecule: ribosomal RNA, 1208 nt
Filed under: Peptoniphilus sp.
Lineage: Bacteria; Bacillati; Bacillota; Tissierellia; Tissierellales; Peptoniphilaceae
Description: bacterial SSU rRNA
Rfam family: Bacterial small subunit ribosomal RNA
Source: RNAcentral
UUCGGGGCGAAGAUAAGAUGGAUUAGCGGCGGACGGGUGAGUAACACGUGAGUAACCUGCCUUAGACAUUGGGAUAGCCUCGGGAAACCGGGAUUAAUACCAAAUGAAAUCACAUAUGCACAUGCAUAAAUGAUCAAAGCUCCGGCGGUCUAAGAUGGACUCGCGUCCCAUUAGCUAGUUGGUGAGGUAACGGCCCACCAAGGCGACGAUGGGUAGCCGGCCUGAGAGGGUGAACGGCCACAUUGGAACUGAGAAACGGUCCAAACUCCUACGGGAGGCAGCAGUGGGGAAUAUUGCACAAUGGAGGGAACUCUGAUGCAGCGACGCCGCGUGAACGAAGAAGGCUUUCGAGUCGUAAAGUUCUUUUAUAUGGGAAGAUAAUGACGGUACCAUAAGAAAAAGCCCCGGCUAACUACGUGCCAGCAGCCGCGGUAAUACGUAGGGGGCUAGCGUUGUCCGGAAUCACUGGGCGUAAAGGGUUCGCAGGCGGAAAUGCAAGUCAGGUGUAAAAGGCAGUAGCUUAACUACUGUAAGCAUUUGAAACUGCAUAUCUUGAGAAGAGUAGAGGUAAGUGGAAUUUUUAGUGUAGCGGUGAAAUGCGUAGAUAUUAAAAAGAAUACCGGUGGCGAAGGCGACUUACUGGGCUCAUUCUGACGCUGAGGAACGAAAGCGUGGGUAGCAAACAGGAUUAGAUACCCUGGUAGUCCACGCUGUAAACGAUGAGUGCUAGGUAUCGGAAUAAUUCGGUGCCGCAGUUAACACAUUAAGCACUCCGCCUGGGGAGUACGUGCGCAAGCAUGAAACUCAAAGGAAUUGACGGGGACCCGCACAAGCAGCGGAGCAUGUGGUUUAAUUCGAAGCAACGCGAAGAACCUUACCAGGGCUUGACAUACUGAGGACCGGUAUAGAGAUAUACCCUCUUCUUCGGAAGCCUCAAUACAGGUGGUGCAUGGUUGUCGUCAGCUCGUGUCGUGAGAUGUUCAGUUAAGUCUGGCAACGAGCGCAACCCCUAUCUUUAGUUACCAGCAUUUCGGAUGGGGACUCUAAAGAGACUGCCGAUGAUAAAUCGGAGGAAGGGGGGGGAUGACGUCAAAUCAUCAUGCCCUAUAUGCCCUGGGCUACCACGUGCUACAAUGGAAGAAACAAAGGGAAGCGAAUAAGGGUUUUAACCAACCUCAAAAGUCUUUCCCGUUCCGAUUGACUCUGCA